This is a long non-coding RNA of Trifolium pratense (red clover), 1526 nucleotides long. RefSeq lists it as uncharacterized. The record is from RefSeq and is a predicted model, not a curated record. The transcript has 2 exons. Lineage: Eukaryota; Viridiplantae; Streptophyta; Magnoliopsida; Fabales; Fabaceae.
UUCUUGUAAGUUAUAAUGUGGGUACUUAAAGAAUAAAGUCAAUAAAUACUAGUGUAUUGACCUAUUGUUGUUCGGGUUAUACAUAUAUACAUAAUGCAUAAUAUUUAUUAAAAAUAUUAUACAUUUUAUUAUUACACUUUUAAUUUCUAUGCAGUGAUGAUGUUUUAUGUUUAUGAAUUAAUUCUAUAAUAUAAACCAUACAUUAAUUAUUCAAUAAAUUUAAAAAGGUUAAAUAUCUUUUAUAAAAAAACACCUUAAGGAAUAUACAUCGAUUUAGUUGUAAAACAAUGCAUAGAUGCACUAGUGUUCAACAUAGGCAGGGCCAUGAAUGUCUUGGGUGGUGACAGUUUAGAGUGUGUCCAAAGGAGAUGGAUGCAAAGUCCUAACAGUACGUUUUCUCUUAUUUUAUGAUUUUUUUAUAGUCAAAUAGUCUAGUGUAUAAAAAUUUCACUUUAAAGAUAAAUAAGUGGAGUGUCUGGGAUUCGACCCCAGCUCCUGCACAUACAUUACGAUGUCCCUACCAACUGAGUUAAGCUCACAAGGAGUAUUAUAAUUUAAUUAUGUGAGAAGAUGUAAUCAACCAUAUAUAUGAUGUAAGAAAUAAAUGAAACUACUCUACAUUGUAUUGGGUCAUUAAUUAUAUUAAUUAUUAAAUUGUUGUUGCACUUGAUUUAAAUAAAUAUAAAUAUUUGUGAAUAUUGUAUUGGGCUCUAAUUGAGAAUGAUUUGUUAUUGGUUGAGUCAUUUGGUUAGCUCGUUGAGAGGUCUCUCUCUUUAUUGGUGAUUUUAUAUUCUGAUCAUCUCAUUGGAUCUGAAUACAUUGUACGUACACAUGAGGAAGAGGGCAUCAACUCUCACUCAAAGCCUCUCAUCCUUGUUCUCUCAUCAAUGGUCUCUACAAUACUGAAAGGUUUAUAAGUCAAGAGAUGGGUCCUGACCAAGAAUUCAAGGUUUCAAGUGUCAAUUAUCUUGCUAAGCGAGCUCAAAGCUAAGUGAAAGCGAGACAAGUCAGAAAGAUCAAGAUUUUCAAUUCAACUAGCUCGCUAAGCAAGCUCAAAGCUAAGUGAAAGCGAGAUCAGGCGGUUAGAAGAGCACAUGUCAGCAAACCCACUAAUGAAGAAAGGCUAGCUCACUAAGCAAGAGGGAGCUUGCUAAGCGAGACUCUGUUUUUAGAAUUAGUAUAAAUAGUCAUCAGUUGCAGAAUUUUUAGAAGAAUUCCAUUCCGACCACUCAAACUCGUCCAGGAGAGAUCCAAGAAUUCCAUCAAAAGCACAACAAUAGUUGAGAAAUCAUCAUUGAUAUGUUUGUUCAUCUCUUUUCUUCUUAAUCUUUUGGAAAGCUAUCAUGAAAAUGAAUAGCUAAUCUCUCUUUUGUUGGGAUUAGGUGUAAAUUAGUACUUUAUUAGUAUGUGUUUCUAUUGAUCAUGGUGUUAUAUAUGGUUUUAGUCGUCUCUCAAUAUUGAUGUUAUCUUUGUUUUCGUUAUUUUAAUCUUUGAUUUGAAUUGUUAUAGACAUAUACCUUUUGAAU